GAUGAACGCUGGCGGCGUGCCUAAUACAUGCAAGUCGAGCGAACAGACGAGGAGCUUGCUCCUCUGACGUUAGCGGCGGACUGGUGAGUAACACGUGGAUAACCUACCUAUAAGACUGGGAUAACUUCGGGAAACCGGAGCUAAUACCGGAUAAUAUAUUGAACCGCAUGGUUCAAUAGUGAAAGACGGUUUUGCUGUCACUUAUAGAUGGAUCCGCGCCGCAUUAGCUAGUUGGUAAGGUAACGGCUUACCAAGGCAACGAUGCGUAGCCGACCUGAGAGGGUGAUCGGCCACACUGGAACUGAGACACGGUCCAGACUCCUACGGGAGGCAGCAGUAGGGAAUCUUCCGCAAAGGGCGAAAGCCUGACGGAGCAACGCCGCGUGAGUGAUGAAGGUCUUCGGAUCGUAAAACUCUGUUAUUAGGGAAGAACAAAUGUGUAAGUAACUAUGCACGUCUUGACGGUACCUAAUCAGAAAGCCACGGCUAACUACGUG
This 497-nucleotide ribosomal RNA is filed under the name uncultured bacterium. RNAcentral's name for it is "partial 16S ribosomal RNA". It matches the Rfam family "Bacterial small subunit ribosomal RNA", at positions 28 to 507 of the family's 1533-position model. The record is from RNAcentral.